RNAcentral lists this ribosomal RNA (433 nucleotides) under uncultured bacterium. RNAcentral's name for it is "partial 16S ribosomal RNA". It matches the Rfam family "Bacterial small subunit ribosomal RNA", at positions 29 to 507 of the family's 1533-position model. The record is from RNAcentral.
AACGAACGCUGGCGGCAGGCUUAACACAUGCAAGUCGAACGGAUCCUCCGGGAUUAGUGGCAGACGGGUGAGUAACGCGUGGGAACGUACCCUUUGCUACGGAAUAACUCAGGGAAACUUGAGCUAACACCGUACGUGCCCUACGGGGGAAAGAUUUAUCGGCACAGGAUCGGCCCGCGUUGGAUUAGCUAGUUGGUAGGGUAAUGGCCUACCAAGGCGACGAUCCAUAGCUGGUUUGAGAGGAUGAUCAGCGACACUGGGACUGAGACACGACCCAGACUCCUACGGGAGGCAGCAGUGGGGAAUAGUGGACAAUCGGCGCAAGCCUGAUCCAGCCAUGACGGGUGAGUGAUGUAAGUCGUAGGAUUGUAAAGCUCUUUCACCGGUGAAGAUAAUGACGGUAGCCGGAGAAGAAGCCCCGGCUAACUUCGUG